AGAUUAAGUUAUUAAGGGCGCACGGUGGAUGCCUUGGCACUAGAAGCCGAUGAAGGACGUUACUAACGACGAUAUGCUUUGGGGAGCUGUAAGUAAGCUUUGAUCCAGAGAUUUCCGAAUGGGGAAACCCAGCAUGAGUUAUGUCAUGUUAUCGAUAUGUGAAUACAUAGCAUAUCAGAAGGCACACCCGGAGAACUGAAACAUCUUAGUACCCGGAGGAAGAGAAAGAAAAUUCGAUUCCCUUAGUAGCGGCGAGCGAAACGGGAAGAGCCCAAACCAACAAGCUUGCUUGUUGGGGUUGUAGGACACUCUAUACGGAGUUACAAAGGACGACAUUAGACGAAUCAUCUGGAAAGAUGAAUCAAAGAAGGUAAUAAUCCUGUAGUCGAAAAUGUUGUCUCUCUUGAGUGGAUCCUGAGUACGACGGAGCACGUGAAAUUCCGUCGGAAUCUGGGAGGACCAUCUCCUAAGGCUAAAUACUCUCUAGUGACCGAUAGUGAACCAGUACCGUGAGGGAAAGGUGAAAAGCACCCCGGAAGGGGAGUGAAAUAGAACCUGAAACCGUGUGCUUACAAGUAGUCAGAGCCCGUUAAUGGGUGAUGGCGUGCCUUUUGUAGAAUGAACCGGCGAGUUACGAUUUGAUGCAAGGUUAAGCAGUAAAUGUGGAGCCGUAGCGAAAGCGAGUCUGAAUAGGGCGUUUAGUAUUUGGUCGUAGACCCGAAACCAGGUGAUCUACCCUUGGUCAGGUUGAAGUUCAGGUAACACUGAAUGGAGGACCGAACCGACUUACGUUGAAAAGUGAGCGGAUGAACUGAGGGUAGCGGAGAAAUUCCAAUCGAACCUGGAGAUAGCUGGUUCUCUCCGAAAUAGCUUUAGGGCUAGCCUCAAGUGAUGAUUAUUGGAGGUAGAGCACUGUUUGGACGAGGGGCCCCUCUCGGGUUACCGAAUUCAGACAAACUCCGAAUGCCAAUUAAUUUAACUUGGGAGUCAGAACAUGGGUGAUAAGGUCCGUGUUCGAAAGGGAAACAGCCCAGACCACCAGCUAAGGUCCCAAAAUAUAUGUUAAGUGGAAAAGGAUGUGGCGUUGCCCAGACAACUAGGAUGUUGGCUUAGAAGCAGCCAUCAUUUAAAGAGUGCGUAAUAGCUCACUAGUCGAGUGACACUGCGCCGAAAAUGUACCGGGGCUAAACAUAUUACCGAAGCUGUGGAUUGUCCUUUGGACAAUGGUAGGAGAGCGUUCUAAGGGCGUUGAAGCAUGAUCGUAAGGACAUGUGGAGCGCUUAGAAGUGAGAAUGCCGGUGUGAGUAGCGAAAGACGGGUGAGAAUCCCGUCCACCGAUUGACUAAGGUUUCCAGAGGAAGGCUCGUCCGCUCUGGGUUAGUCGGGUCCUAAGCUGAGGCCGACAGGCGUAGGCGAUGGAUAACAGGUUGAUAUUCCUGUACCACCUAUAAUCGUUUUAAUCGAUGGGGGGACGCAGUAGGAUAGGCGAAGCGUGCGAUUGGAUUGCACGUCUAAGCAGUAAGGCUGAGUAUUAGGCAAAUCCGGUACUCGUUAAGGCUGAGCUGUGAUGGGGAGAAGACAUUGUGUCUUCGAGUCGUUGAUUUCACACUGCCGAGAAAAGCCUCUAGAUAGAAAA
RNAcentral lists this ribosomal RNA (1636 nucleotides) under Staphylococcus aureus. RNAcentral's name for it is "partial 23S ribosomal RNA". It matches the Rfam family "Bacterial large subunit ribosomal RNA", at positions 1 to 1634 of the family's 2925-position model. Lineage: Bacteria; Bacillati; Bacillota; Bacilli; Caryophanales; Staphylococcaceae. The record is from RNAcentral.